CAAGUCUGCUCUCAGUCCCACGAAGAAGAACGACUUCCGGCAGCGCUUGAAGUUAGCAUCACAGAAACACAGGAAUGGAUGAACAUCCUAAAAGGCGAUAUUAUAUAGGACCGCUCCCGACAAGAAACCACGUUCAACGGCAAAGAAAAGAAGCGACACGAGUAAAUCUCGAUGUGCCUUUCCACCGCUGGAGAAGCUCCUGAGAGUGAAGAGAUGCGGUUUGAUGCCGAGCUCGCAACUUUCCUGUUAGCCCGGACCUGAGCCAGUACAGAUGGAAUACCGCCUCCACCUGUCUCACAACGGCAGAGACACAGUGAGGAGGGUCUAGGGAUGGCAGAAUCCACCUCAGGCCAGAACCAUACCUGCAAGAAACGAUGUGGAAGCAGCUGGGCCUGGACGAGCAGAGGUGGAGCCCUACUUCUCUAGAAGAGGAUAUCCUUUACAUUUCUGGACAAUGAAAUCUUUGAAGAAUAUUCUGUCUGCACAGAUCACUACCAUUCCUUUUGUUACUCUCCCUACAAUACCAAGGGCUGGGCAGCACAUAUAGACUAUUCCAUUCUGUUCAAUGAAUGAAUUUUUAAAAAACUGUUUCAUAAAGCUUUAACUUACAACAUUUGACACAUUACAACAAUUUAAAUUUUAUGUCUUAUGACAUCCUAUGACAAAAUCCAGGUGCAACUUGACACUCUUUUUUAUUUUGCGUCUCAUCAGCCAGAUAAGAAAUCCAAUACAUCAUCCUGCAGCUGUGCCCUGGACAUUACAAAUUGGCUACACUUUUAAUUACAGAAAAUUACUAACUGUGGUGA
Molecule: long non-coding RNA, 806 nt
Organism: Seriola aureovittata
Lineage: Eukaryota; Metazoa; Chordata; Actinopteri; Carangiformes; Carangidae
Exons: 4
Source: RefSeq, a predicted model, not a curated record